RNAcentral lists this ribosomal RNA (497 nucleotides) under uncultured bacterium. RNAcentral's name for it is "partial 16S ribosomal RNA". It matches the Rfam family "Bacterial small subunit ribosomal RNA", at positions 28 to 507 of the family's 1533-position model. The record is from RNAcentral.
GAUGAACGCUGGCGGCGUGCCUAAUACAUGCAAGUCGAGCGAACGGACGAGAAGCUUGCUUCUCUGAUGUUAGCGGCGGACGGGUGAGUAACACGUGGAUAACCUACCUAUAAGACUGGGAUAACUUCGGGAAACCGGAGCUAAUACCGGAUAAUAUUUUGAACCGCAUGGUUCAAAAGUGAAAGACGGUCUUGCUGUCACUUAUAGAUGGAUCCGCGCUGCAUUAGCUAGUUGGUAAGGUAACGGCUUACCAAGGCAACGAUGCAUAGCCGACCUGAGAGGGUGAUCGGCCACACUGGAACCGAGACACGGUCCAGACUCCUACGGGAGGCAGCAGUAGGGAAUCUUCCGCAAUGGGCGAAAGCCUGACGGAGCAACGCCGCGUGAGUGAUGAAGGUCUUCGGAUCGUAAAACUCUGUUAUUAGGGAAGAACAUAUGUGUAAGUAACUGUGCACAUCUUGACGGUACCUAAUCAGAAAGCCACGGCUAACUACGUG